CUCAAUUCAUUUGCCAGAGUAGUAUCAUCUGCAGCUGUCAAUGAAGUGUCCUGCCAGUUCUUUACGAUAGUAUUAGGUGAAAACAAUUAUGGAAAGUCUUCAUGAAGAACCAACAGUGUGUGAAAUACCUGAGAUUUAUGCAUGCCAGUUGUGAUAAGUGAUGUUAUUCUAGACGUGGAGACAGAGUACCACUCUAAGGAAGAUGUAAUGGAAAUACCUUAAUCUGUUUAGUAUCUCUUAUUUGAUUACUCUGAAAUAACCAAAGUUAUGCUGGUUAUUUGUCAUGUAAUCUAAUUGCACACAGUAUGGUUUUUCUUUUUUCUUUAGGUAAUAUAGUGCUAGACUGUAUAAUAGCUUCUCAAAAUAAUUUCAAAUAAUUUAACAUUUUUAGACAUUGGUAUUUUAGUUUGGAAUUAAUACCACAUUAUUUAUCUGUUAUUUUACUACAGAUAUCCCAGGAAUGUGAAAGAGGAGUUAAUGAAAUUUAACCACAGCAAAUUGAGAGUAUACAAUUUUUAAAAUUGAAAAGCUACAGAAAGUAAUGAGACUAAAUUAGAGGUUUUAAUCACAUGGAACUCAUGACUCUGAAAUGAACCCAUUUUGAGGAGCUGUUGACUUUGGCUACUAUUGAUUUGGCUGAACUUAGAAAGAAUACUCUCACUUUCGUUAUAUAUUGUUCUUGCUCUCUAAAUUAACUCCAUUAUGCAAUAUUCCACUCAAGCAAAGGUGGCAGAAAUGACUGAAGUUACAGAUUUCCAAAUAACCUUUAUAAACAGAUAAGAAUGUCUGCAAACAUGCUUAAGUUUCAGUGUUCUUGGAUUAUUUUUCAGAAAAAAAAAUGAUGUCAUAAAACUCUUAACUUUGAUAUUUCUUAAGAGUACCUUUUAUAUAAACUGUUCAGCCAGUGCUAAAUUUCCAUAGAUUUCUUUUUACUAUAAAUAUAAAUCUCAAAUAUUUUUGACAUUAGAAAUCACACUAAACCUUUAUAUUCUAAGACAUCAGGGGUUCUCUAGGUGCAAUCCUUGAAAUAAGAAGUGAUUUUUAAUACAGAACUAUAUCCACAAGCAUCUUAAUCAUUUUGUAUUUUUGUGUUUGUUUUAGUCUUUUUGUAUUUAAUGUAAUGAAAAUGGCAAAGAGGUUUGAUUGGAUUCUGGGUCAUCUCCA
RNAcentral lists this long non-coding RNA (1164 nucleotides) under Marmota monax (woodchuck). Lineage: Eukaryota; Metazoa; Chordata; Mammalia; Rodentia; Sciuridae. The record is from RNAcentral.